Long non-coding RNA from Myxocyprinus asiaticus (Chinese sucker), 3341 nucleotides. RefSeq lists it as uncharacterized. NCBI's taxonomy places the organism in Eukaryota, Metazoa, Chordata, Actinopteri, Cypriniformes, Catostomidae. The transcript is spliced from 3 exons. The record is from RefSeq and is a predicted model, not a curated record.
CGUCAUAGAGACGCGCGGAAGGAACAUGCUGGAUGGCUUCAUCUCAUACAACACUAUCUCAUAACUCCCUGCAAGGAGAAUAGCUGAAAAUCAGAUAGAUGAUCCCAAGAUUGCAUUUGCAUGUCUCCGUCCAUCCUGUGUCCUCUUGACCAAAGAACCUACAGCCGCUAAUGUAGAAACUCUGAGCGUCCACCUCCACAGCGUGAGUGAUGGAACUCUCCAACAGCUCCAGGGCUAUGUCCUCUUUCCUCUCAGAUUUGUUCUCAAAAGUCCAGGCUCCAAGCGCGAGGCUCUCAUCCAGGCAGUCAUGGAAGCCAUGGCUUACGUCUUGGAGAACACUUGCGUUCAGAGUUGAAAGUCACUGCGAGAUCUUUUCUCCGAGCUGUGCCUUUGUCUUUGUUUCCCGAAAGACCCGGGAAAGCCUGCCGCAACCUCAGAGGAAGUCAAACUGGCUGUCCUGAAGUGCCUGGAUGCCCUCCUGCACUCUGCGUAUUUGGACAUCGUUUUUAGCUGUACGAGCCAAGCAUGUUGCCUGGACUCGAAGCGGCCGUGUCGUUAGGCAUAGCAAACAAACACCUAAUACACCCUUGCAAUCACCAAGCUACCACCCAAAAAAACCUUUGCAAAUGCCAUAGCAACUGCCUAACAACCAUCCAGAACAUCUUAGCCACUGCAUAGCAAUACAAUCCGUAAAUGCACAGUAAAAUAAGAAAUAAAUGUCAAGUAAUAUGGUUUUAUCAAAAGUGCAGAUAAAAGUGCACACCACUAUUAGGCAAGGAGGUUCCCGCCGUAGGUUUGUGGCUGAUUUACAAGACGAGUUGACCUGUUAUUCAUUUUAGCAUCAUGAUAGUCUUGCAGAGCCAGACUUUUGACUAUUCUGGCCAAGAACUGCCCACUCAGACAGGACCAUGUUAAAUGACUGAUUUUUAUUUACGUGAAGUUUAGAUUUAGAUUUAGAACCAACAAGAGCAAAAUAACAGACUGGCAUACAAAAAAGCAGUUGCUUAUUCAUAUAAUGGCCGCAGUUUUUUGUUUAAGGUUGUAACAACAAAACCAAAGAAAUCAGUAGAAUUUAGAAUUUAGAAAAUUUCUUACAUUUAGAAUUAGGGAUGUCACAAUACCACUACCGAGACUGAAAUACUUGUUCUUGGGCUCGUAAAAAUGUUCCAAUAGCAAAAUCCAGAACCAUUUGAUGUACGUUUGUCAUUGCGUAAGCAUUAUUAUAAUCCUUAAACCACAAAGGCUACCAUUUAAUGAGAUAAAUAUAGUGUGCAUGUGCUGCACGCUUCAAAUGUGAGUGCUUGUGAAUUUAUGGAGCACCGGCUGUGUGGACGUCAGCUGCUCAUACCUUUUACACCUCCUUGGCUUACACUGAAAACACCAUCAUAAGAAUCGCACACUCUGUUUGUAGCAGAUGACAGUGAGCAUAGUGCUAUUUCACUUUGUAGCACAAGGUACAUACGAAGUACAUAUUUAUUUAAUUAAAUAGGAGCCUUUUGUGGUAUAAUAAUCACACUGAGGCUGUGUCUCGUUUGGAAGGAUGCGUCCUCCGGAGGUCGCAUUUCUCGGCCGCAUUCGUCAACGAGGCUGUCUCGUUUCAGAAAAGCAAGUAGGACACUUCGAAUGAAGCCUUCGAAUGUGACCUUCUUUCACGGGAAUUCGGAGGAUGCAUGAGGUGUGUCCUUCGUGGGCACUCAUAACCCACAGUUCUUUGCUUCAACGGAAAUGUCUAAAAAAAAAGACGCCAAUUUGCCCGUAAAUAUGAAGUUCAAAUGCAAGGAAUGUUAAUUCCCAAGUUGAAGUACCUCAGUAGAUGGGUGCAGAGUAUAUAAUAUGUAUUAUUAUAUUAAUAUAUAAUUAAAAUAAAUUAUUAGACUAAAAGUACACCUGUAAAAUCUAUUUUCUUUUCUCUUUACAACAUUAUAACUCUCCUAAAAUGUACCUCAAACAUUCCCUUCUAAAGGUACUUUGUUACCGUGUCACUCGAAGUGCUCGCACUUGUUAAAGAGUGGUGUGCUGUCAUAGUAACCAUGUUACGUUACGUUUCCGUUUGUCCUACGAAGGCCGUCUCAUUUAAACGAGAUUUGUUUAAAGGAGGACACUCGGUAUACUGCAGCCUUCAAAGGACACGUCCUACCUAUCAUGCAGCCUUCCAAACGAGACACGGCCUGAGUGACGUAGUGACCUGCUUUUCUGGAAGUGAGAAGCUACCAUCAUAACAAAACAAACACUUCAAAAUAAAAGCUCAGCCAAAAUAAAAGCUUAAUUUAAAUAGGGAAAAAGUACGACAGAAAUAUAUCACUACUGUAUAGUUAUGCAAUAUUCUCUGUAAUACUGCUACUACUACUAAUAAUAAGAAAUGUACAAUUAUUUAAUGUUAUUUAAGUAAUAUCUCACUUCUGUGAUUUUCUGUUAUGCAGCACUUUAUUUGUUUUUUGGAGGUUGUGUAAAAGCACUUCAUUUUAUAAAAAUAAUUCAAUAUUAUGUUGAAAAUAAAUUGUUAAAUUCAAGUUUUAAUGAAUUAAUUUAUUUAGACACAAUUUUCAUUAUAUAAACUUUUGAUAGAUUUAAAUAAAUUGAAAUAAACUGUUGAUAUGGUUCAGAAAACAAACAAAAAACAGGUAUUGGUAUCAACAAGUAUCGAAAAGGAAGUAUCGGUACUUGUACUCGUUCUAAAAAAAAUGGUAUUGGGAGAUCCCUAUUUAGAAUGUAGAAACUUAGUAUAAAAAUUAGUAGAAACAAACAUUAGUGUGUGUUGACUUUUUUACAGGGUCAUCUCUGUGACAUUGCCAGUACUUACUACUUUUGGAUGGACAUAAAUUCUAACCACAAAGCGGAAUAUACAGUUGCGUUUAAGGGUAACUUGUUUACUUGCUAAUAUGUGCCUUAAUAAGUUUUACUAAUGUGAUAAAUUCUGUGAGUAGCAACAAAUGUUCAUUGUGGCAGCCUGGUCACUUGUAAACUAAACUUUUUUCCCUACGGACUAUAAACUGUGCGUUCUCGAAAGUGACAGAAAGCCCACCAGUCAGAUUGGAACUUGAGAUUCUGCCAGAUUCUUGGCAUUUUUGUGCAGUUUGAAUGGUUUGCAAGUGCAAAUGUUCUGUGGGCGGUCCUGAGACUAGCAUUGUGACAUCAUAUCCUCAGACGUCCCUCGACCAGCGUCCACUUCUGAGGAGGACAGGGAAGGUCCUGACGUGAAAGAUCCAGAUUGCCAAAGACGUCAUGGAGUGAUGCAUUCACCUGCUGACUCCAACCUGUGAUUGAAGAUUGAACAGUGCAUCCGGAAAGUAUUUACAGCGCUUCACUUUUUCCACAUUUUGUUAUGUUACAGCCUUAUUCCA